AUUGAACGCUGGCGGGAUGCUUUACACAUGCAAGUCGAACGGCAGCACGGGGGCAGCCCUGGUGGCGAGUGGCGAACGGGUGAGUAAUACAUCGGAACGUGCCCGGUCGUGGGGGAUAACGUAGCGAAAGUUACGCUAAUACCGCAUACGAUCUGAGGAUGAAAGCGGGGGACCUUCGGGCCUCGCGCGAUCGGAGCGGCCGAUGUCAGAUUAGGUAGUUGGUGGGGUAAAGGCCUACCAAGCCGACGAUCUGUAGCUGGUCUGAGAGGACGACCAGCCACACUGGGACUGAGACACGGCCCAGACUCCUACGGGAGGCAGCAGUGGGGAAUUUUGGACAAUGGGCGCAAGCCUGAUCCAGCCAUUCCGCGUGCAGGACGAAGGCCUUCGGGUUGUAAACUGCUUUUGUACGGAACGAAAAGGCUCUGGCUAAUACCUGGGGCUCAUGACGGUACCGGAAGAAUAAGCACCGGCUAACUACGUG
Molecule: ribosomal RNA, 484 nt
Filed under: uncultured bacterium
Lineage: Bacteria
Description: partial 16S ribosomal RNA
Rfam family: Bacterial small subunit ribosomal RNA
Source: RNAcentral